GUGCACAUGGUAUAGUUGGUUACACGCCCGCUUAAUGCAGGCUAAGCGGGUGGUCCCCGGUUCGAUUCCGGGUGUGUGUU
Non-coding RNA from Lyophyllum atratum, 80 nucleotides. The record is from the annotation of a GenBank genome assembly. Lineage: Eukaryota; Fungi; Basidiomycota; Agaricomycetes; Agaricales; Lyophyllaceae.